RNAcentral lists this ribosomal RNA (639 nucleotides) under uncultured Akkermansia sp. RNAcentral's name for it is "bacterial SSU rRNA". It matches the Rfam family "Bacterial small subunit ribosomal RNA", at positions 20 to 681 of the family's 1533-position model. Lineage: Bacteria; Pseudomonadati; Verrucomicrobiota; Verrucomicrobiia; Verrucomicrobiales; Akkermansiaceae. The record is from RNAcentral.
GAAUUCACUAGUGAUUUGGCGGCGUGGUUAAGACAUGCAAGUCGAACGAGAGAAUUGCUAGCUUGCUAAUAAUUCUCUAGUGGCGCACGGGUGAGUAACACGUGAGUAACCUGCCCCCGAGAGCGGGAUAGCCCUGGGAAACUGGGAUUAAUACCGCAUAGUAUCGAAAGAUUAAAGCAGCAAUGCGCUUGGGGAUGGGCUCGCGGCCUAUUAGUUAGUUGGUGAGGUAACGGCUCACCAAGGCGAUGACGGGUAGCCGGUCUGAGAGGAUGUCCGGCCACACUGGAACUGAGACACGGUCCAGACACCUACGGGUGGCAGCAGUCGAGAAUCAUUCACAAUGGGGGAAACCCUGAUGGUGCGACGCCGCGUGGGGGAAUGAAGGUCUUCGGAUUGUAAACUCCUGUCAUGUGGGAGCAAAUUAAAAAGAUAGUACCACAAGAGGAAGAGACGGCUAACUCUGUGCCAGCAGCCGCGGUAAUACAGAGGUCUCAAGCGUUGUUCGGAAUCACUGGGCGUAAAGCGUGCGUAGGCUGUUUCGUAAGUCGUGUGUGAAAGGCGCGGGCUCAACCCGCGGACGGCACAUGAUACUGCGAGACUAGAGUAAUGGAGGGGGAACCGGAAUUCUCGGUGUAGCAA